Molecule: non-coding RNA, 188 nt
Filed under: Celeribacter halophilus
Lineage: Bacteria; Pseudomonadati; Pseudomonadota; Alphaproteobacteria; Rhodobacterales; Roseobacteraceae
Source: RNAcentral
UCUAUAUGAUGUUGCUUCGGUUCUAUCGGCGCGAGUCGAUAGCCCAUAGGGCAGACCGGAAAAUUCCGGCACUUCCCUUGCAACUGCAAGCGGUUAACACGGCUCACAGCGCCACGGGGAACACCUCGGGAAGGCCGGACAAGCCAUAUCCGCGCAGUCAGGUGACCGGCCGCAGCGGACAAAAACAC